RNAcentral lists this ribosomal RNA (1134 nucleotides) under uncultured organism. RNAcentral's name for it is "bacterial SSU rRNA". It matches the Rfam family "Bacterial small subunit ribosomal RNA", at positions 31 to 1157 of the family's 1533-position model. The record is from RNAcentral.
GAACGCUGGCGGCAUGGCUAAGACAUGCAAGUCGAACGGGCUAUACUAACGGGUAACUGUGCGUAUAGCUAGUGGCGAAAGGGUGAGGAACAGAUAGGUAACGUACCCCGCACUUCGGAAUAGCGCCCUGAAAGGGGCAUUAAUACCGGAUGAUGUCAUGAACUUAAUUGUUUAUGAUCAAAGAUUUAUCGGUGUGGGAGCGGNCUACCUCCUAUCAGCUUGUUGGUGAGGUAACGGCUCACCAAGGCUGCGACGGGUAGCGGGACUGAGAGGUUGACCCGCCACAUCGGGACUGAGACACUGCCCGGACCUCCACGGAGGGCUGCAGUAACGAAUAUUGGGCAAUGGGCGAAAGCCUGACCCAGCAAUGCCGCGUGCAGGAUGAAGCCCCUCGGGGUGUAAACUGCUGUCAGGUGGAAAAAAGCCGGUUUCGGCCGGUUGAUUGAUACCAAAGGAAGCCACGGCUAACUUCGUGCCAGCAGCCGCGGUAAGACGAAGGUGGCGAGCGUUGUUCGGAAUCACUGGGCUUAAAGCGCGCGUAGGCGGAAUAUCAAGCGUUUUGUGAAAUCCCCCGGCUUAACCGGGGAAUUGCUUGACGAACUGAUAUUCUUGAGGCAAGUAGGGGUGUGUGGAACUCUUGGUGGAGCGGUGGAAUGCGUAGAUAUCAAGAGGAACGCCGGAGGUGAAGACGGCACACUGGGCUUGUCCUGACGCUGAGGUGCGAAAGCGUGGGUAGCGAACGGGAUUAGAUACCCCGGUAGUCCACGCCGUAAACGAUGUCUACUAGGUUGCGGAAGUUUCUGACACUGUCGCGGACCGAAGCAAAAGUGAUAAGUAGACCGCCUGGGGAGUACGGUCGCAAGAUUAAAACUCAAAGGAAUUGACGGGGGCUCACACAAGCGGUGGAGCAUGUGGAUUAAUUCGAAGCAACGCGCAGAACCUUACCUGGGUUUGACAUGCUUGGAUGCCUUCCUGGAAACAGGAUUUGGCUGCCUUCGGGUGAAACUUGCACAGGUGCUGCAUGGCUGUCGUCAGCUCGUGUCGUGAGAUGUCGGGUUAAGUCCUUUAACGAGCGAAACCCUUGUCGCUAGUUGCCAGCGAGUCAAGUCGGGGACUCUAGCGAGACUGCCGGUG